AUGAUGAAAUCACGUUGGAGGAAUGCAGUUCAACCGUGUGUACAGAAGUCACCAUAACUGGUGAACUGAGUGAGGGAGGUGAAAUUGAAAGCGAUUACGACGGCAAUCUGGAUAGUGACAGGGCAGAGUCUAUUAUUUACAUAAAGUACUGUUGCGAUAGAGCCAACAGAGAUUACAGUUCAGAUAGAUACGAAUAUGAAACUGAAGGCAUUG
Long non-coding RNA from Cimex lectularius (bed bug), 213 nucleotides. RefSeq lists it as uncharacterized. Lineage: Eukaryota; Metazoa; Arthropoda; Insecta; Hemiptera; Cimicidae. The record is from RefSeq and is a predicted model, not a curated record. The transcript is spliced from 3 exons.